AACGAACGCUGGCGGCAGGCCUAACACAUGCAAGUCGAGCGCCCAGCAAUGGGAGCGGCGGACGGGUGAGUAACACGUGGGAAUAUGCCUUUCGGUUCGGAACAACUCGGGGAAACCCGUGCUAAUUCCGGAUACGCCCUUACGGGGAAAGAUUUAUCGCCGAAAGAUUAGCCCGCGUCCGAUUAGCUAGUUGGUGAGGUAAUGGCUCACCAAGGCACCGAUCGGUAGCUGGUUUGAGAGAACGACCAGCCACACUGGGACUGAGACACGGCCCAGACUCCUACGGGAGGCAGCAGUGGGGAAUCUUGGACAAUGGGGGAAACCCUGAUCCAGCCAUGCCGCGUGAGUGAUGAA
Molecule: ribosomal RNA, 354 nt
Filed under: uncultured bacterium
Lineage: Bacteria
Description: bacterial SSU rRNA
Rfam family: Bacterial small subunit ribosomal RNA
Source: RNAcentral